UAGGUUAAUUAGGUUUAGAUUCUCCUCUACAUAUUAGAAACAUAUAUAUCUUAACCUUCGUGAUACAAUUCUUUCAAUCUCUAUCUCUCAUCAUUCUCUAUAUUAAUUUAGGAAGGAGACAAGCAUGGAUUGGGACCCAAAUGAGCGCGAUGAACCUCCACUACUGAAAUUCUUGAGCCAUAUGAGGAAUAUGAAUACUCCGUUAUUCUCAGGAGGCGCAAACCCCUUGGAUGCUAAUAUAAACGGGUGUCCCCUCGAUUUUAGGAUGGAUAUUGCUGUGCGUUUCUUGGUGGCAACAAGUUGAGCGUGGAAGAAAUGUGAAGACAUGGAUAGAGUUUGAAAAUGUAUUCAGGAUGCGGUAUCUUCCACCGGAGGCUAGGGAUUCCAUUGAGCUUCAGUUCUUUAAGCUAGAACAAGGGAGUAAGUCCGUUUGGGAGCAGAGCCGUGCCAAGGCUUUUAUGUUUUCUUCGAGAAGAUUAUGACAAGGAGCAAGCUGAUAUUCGUAGGUUUAUAAGGGGACUGAGACCCGACAUCCGGACAUAUCUACUCGGUGUAGAGUUUCAACGGCUAGAAGAUGUUGUCGAAAAAGCUAUUCUGAUAGAAGAAAGCAUUCAAGAGGAGCAGGGAUUAUUUUUAGGCUCCGUCACUACCUUGUUUAUCUAAUAUUUUAUAUGUCUUUAGAUGAAUCUUUUGAUGGUAUGAAAAACUCUCGCUUUUUGUUCAAUAUUCAACUGUG
This is a long non-coding RNA of Camelina sativa (false flax), 736 nucleotides long. RefSeq lists it as uncharacterized. NCBI's taxonomy places the organism in Eukaryota, Viridiplantae, Streptophyta, Magnoliopsida, Brassicales, Brassicaceae. The record is from RefSeq and is a predicted model, not a curated record.